CCCGUAAUCGUCGGCAGCCUGAGCAGUAUGCCGCGUGGGUGAAGAAGGCCUUCGGGUUGUAAAGCCCUUUCCGUGGGGAAGAAAUCGGCCGGGCGAAUAGUCUGGUUGGAUGACGGUACCCGCAGAAGAAGCACCGGCUAACUACGUGCCAGCAGCCGCGGUAAUAGG
Molecule: ribosomal RNA, 168 nt
Filed under: uncultured bacterium
Lineage: Bacteria
Description: partial 16S ribosomal RNA
Rfam family: Bacterial small subunit ribosomal RNA
Source: RNAcentral